CGCGAAUAGCUCAUUACAACAGCUAUAAUCUACUUGUUCUAUGACUUAAAUGGAUAACUGCGGUAAUUCUGGAGCCAAUACAUGCGAACAGCUGCGGCCUUCGGGUUGCAGUGCUAUUAUUGGAGCAAAACUAUUCGUUAGUCCUUUUGCUAACUCUGGAUAAUACUGCGUAUCGCACGAUCUUGUGUCGGCGAAGUUUCAUUCGAGUAUCUGCCCUAUCAACUGGUUGGCAGUGUAUUGGACUGCCAUGGUUCUAACGGGUAACGGAGAAUCAGGGUUUGACUCCGGAGAAUCCGCCUUAAAAACGGCGAAUAUGUCUAAGGAUAGCAGCAGGCGCGAAAAUUACCCAAUAUCAAUACGAUGAGGUAGUGACGAGAAAUAACGAGUCCGUUCUCUCUGAGGUCGGACAUUGGAAUGGGUACAAUGUAGACAAUUUAACGAGUAUCUACGAGAGGGCAAGUCUGGUGCCAGCAGCCGCGGUAAUUCCAGCUCUCGUAAUACAUAGAAUUAUUGUUGCGGUUAAAAAGUUCAUAGUUGGAUUGUUGAACCGUUCGGGGUGCGUCUUAACGGGCGUCACUCGUGGGCGGUAUUUUGCGCGUUUUCGGGCCUUCGGGUCGGUGAUGCGCAGGAUUACUUUGAACGGCUUAAGUGCUCAAGGCGGGUCUUACGACUGAAUACCGGUGCAUGGAAUAAUGGAACAAGGUUGCGGCCGAGUUUUAUUGGUUUUGUCGGCUGAAACAAUGGUUAACAGGAACAGCCGGGGGCAUUCGUAUCGCUGCGCGAGAGGUGAAAUUCGAGGACCGUAGCGAGACGCACUAAAGCGAAGGCAUUUGCCAAGAGUGUUUUCAUUAAUCAAGAACGAAAGUCAGAGGUUCGAAGGCGAUCAGAUACCGCCCA
This 897-nucleotide ribosomal RNA is filed under the name Aphelenchoides besseyi. RNAcentral's name for it is "SSU rRNA". It matches the Rfam family "Eukaryotic small subunit ribosomal RNA", at positions 88 to 1021 of the family's 1831-position model. The record is from RNAcentral. Lineage: Eukaryota; Metazoa; Nematoda; Chromadorea; Rhabditida; Aphelenchoididae.